AUUGAACGCUGGCGGCAGGCCUAACACAUGCAAGUCGAGCGGAUGAAGGGAGCUUGCUCCUGGAUUCAGCGGCGGACGGGUGAGUAAUGCCUAGGAAUCUGCCUGGUAGUGGGGGAUAACGUCCGGAAACGGGCGCUAAUACCGCAUACGUCCUGAGGGAGAAAGUGGGGGAUCUUCGGACCUCACGCUAUCAGAUGAGCCUAGGUCGGAUUAGCUAGUUGGUGGGGUAAAGGCCUACCAAGGCGACGAUCCGUAACUGGUCUGAGAGGAUGAUCAGUCACACUGGAACUGAGACACGGUCCAGACUCCUACGGGAGGCAGCAGUGGGGAAUAUUGGACAAUGGGCGAAAGCCUGAUCCAGCCAUGCCGCGUGUGUGAAGAAGGUCUUCGGAUUGUAAAGCACUUUAAGUUGGGAGGAAGGGCAGUAAGUUAAUACCUGGCUGUUUGGACGUUACCAACAGAAUAAGCACCGGCUAACUUCGU
RNAcentral lists this ribosomal RNA (483 nucleotides) under uncultured bacterium. RNAcentral's name for it is "partial 16S ribosomal RNA". It matches the Rfam family "Bacterial small subunit ribosomal RNA", at positions 30 to 506 of the family's 1533-position model. The record is from RNAcentral.